This is a non-coding RNA of Glossina brevipalpis, 45 nucleotides long. The record is from Rfam. Lineage: Eukaryota; Metazoa; Arthropoda; Insecta; Diptera; Glossinidae.
GCAAAAGCCUUUUUUAAGGCUAUAAAAUUAUUUUAAAGAGAUUUA